CAAUCAAUUCGUUAAUCAUUUUUGCUUCAACAAUGGCAAAACGUGCGCGAUUUCAUUUUGUAGGUAAUCAUCUUGUAAUUAACGAAAUGCGCAAUUUGUUAAUGUUAUUGCAUAAUACGCGCAAUUUAGUAGUGCAAUAUAAUCUUGAAAACGUGGUGUACCUACCAGGGAAAAACUUAUUUUCUUUGUCCAGAACAAAGUAUGAAAGAUUUGCAAAAUAUUCGUAGCUCCAGGUUACCGCAGAGAAAAUAGCCUAAUUCAAAAUAUAUUGCUUGUUGUUCCUCUACACUUUUGUUGUUUGUUUGUAUCCAAAUUGGAAGUUUACAUGCAGCUCUUGGGCCGAACUUGUCCACAGCUUCGACCUAUAAGGUAUGUACGUUAGCCAAAUAACGCCAUGUUCCUAAUAACGCCAGACGUCCUCUUUUGGAAAACCACGUAAGCAAUACAAAAAAUUGCCAGUGUGGCAUUGUAGGUUCAUACCCAAGAAGACUGUCAGCCAUUAAAACCUUCUUUAUAGAUGAAACAAGUGUCACCACAUGAGAUGCAUGAUUUUGGCGGCAAUAACCACCAUUCGUCAUUGCAUCUUUGAUGCAAGAUAUUUGAUGUUCAAACACUCUAAUAAUUAGAUUUGUUCAUACCCGCGUGGUGUUUGAUUUUAGGUUAAGUGCGCCUAAUAACGCCAACAAUCUUCUACUGGCGUGAUUAGGAGCCAAUCUGCAAUUAAAGAGUGUUCUUGGUCUUCCAACCAAGUAAAUCGGAAGAAAAAGAGAAAACCUGCAGCUAAGGAGAGUUUGGUAUUGUUUUGUUUGCCAAAAAGGCCGGAUCUGCGAUAUGCGCCUUUGUGUCUUUUGCAACCGUUAAGUACACGAGGAAUGUGUAGGAUUACCCAAAAAAGACAAAUUUUCAUAUGUUUGUAUUGAUUUUGAACGUUAGUUAAAUUUCAAUAAAUGUUUACCCUAUA
This is a long non-coding RNA of Photinus pyralis (common eastern firefly), 961 nucleotides long. RefSeq lists it as uncharacterized. The record is from RefSeq and is a predicted model, not a curated record. Lineage: Eukaryota; Metazoa; Arthropoda; Insecta; Coleoptera; Lampyridae. The transcript is spliced from 4 exons.